ACGCCUGUGCAGAACGGCCAGGACCACACCUUUGCCCGUCACCUCCGCCCACGCUCCCCACGCCUCCCACCGGCCUGCCGCUGCAUCCCGUCGACACCCCAGCCCCUGGGCCUCAGGGAGGCUGACCUGAGUUCUGCUCUGCCUCCUCGCUUUGCUGUCUUGCAGGGUCACAAAAUGGCUGCAGUAGCACCAGAUACACUUCUGCUAACAGGAUCAUUACCUCCCUCAGAAGUGCGUCUGGGCCAGUGUCCAUGGGCGAGCCCCAGCUGUGUUUCCCAGGACAGUGGUACCCAGGUCGCCCUGGGACGGCAGUUCCUAGGCCACUAAGGCAGAUGCCUCCUCUCCUCUUGUCUGUUCUUGUCGUCAAUCAAGCUGAUUCUCUCGCCAGAAUUGCUCCUUGCUGCGGUGCCUUCGCCUGACAGAGAAAUCCCUUCCACUGCCAGCUCCCAGGAGGCCAAGCCCUUGACUCCUAAGCAGAAUGAC
Molecule: non-coding RNA, 483 nt
Organism: Vicugna pacos (alpaca)
Lineage: Eukaryota; Metazoa; Chordata; Mammalia; Artiodactyla; Camelidae
Source: RefSeq, a predicted model, not a curated record